AACGGACCAUAUAAUUGGGUAACCGAAAGUAUGGUUAGUGGCGAAAGGGUGAGGAAUAGAUAGGAACGUACCCUGUGCUCUGGGAUAGCGUCUGAAGCUUCGGCUUCUUCCGAAAGGGGCGGUAAUACCAGAUAAUGUCCUUCGGGACCAAAGAUUUAUCGGCAUUGGAGCGGCCUAUCUCCUAUCAGCUUGUUGGUGAGGUAACGGCUCACCAAGGCAACGACGGGUAGCGGGACUGAGAGGUUGGCCCGCCACAUCGGGACUGAGACACUGCCCGGACCUCCACGGAGGGCUGCAGUAACGGAUAUUGGGCAAUGGGCGAAAGCCUGACCCAGCAAUGCCGCGUGCAGGAUGAAGCCCCUAGGGGUGUAAACUGCUGUCAGGGGUCAGAAAGCUGGUUUCGGCCAGUUGAUCAACCCCAGAGGAAGUCACGGCUAACUUCGUGCCAGCAGCCGCGGUAAUACGAAGGUGGCAAGCGUUAUUCGGAAUCAUUGGGCUUAAAGGGCACGCAGGCGGAACAGUGUGUGUUGUGUGAAAUCCCCCGGCUUAACCGGGGAAUUGCACAGCAAACUGCUGUUCUUGAGGCAGGUAGGGGUGCAUGGAACUCUUGGUGGAGCGGUGGAAUGCGUAGAUAUCAAGAGGAACGCCAGAGGUGAAGACGGUGCACUGGGCCUGUCCUGACGCUGAGGUGCGAAAGCGUGGGGAGCGAACGGGAUUAGAUACCCCGGUAGUCCACGCCGUAAACGAUGUCUACUAGGUCGUGGGUGUUCUGACACAUUCACGGCCGGAGCAAAAGUGUUUAGUAGACCGCCUGGGGAGUACGGCCGCAAGGUUAAAACUCAAAUGAAUUGACGGGGGCUCACACAAGCGGUGGAGCAUAUGGAUUAAUUCGAAGCAACGCGCAGAACCUUACACUGGGUUUGACAUGCUUGUAUGCCUUCUCUGAAAGGGAGUUAGGCUGCACUUCAGGGUGAAACUUGGGCACAGGGUGCUGCAUGGCUGUCGUCAGCUCGUGUCGUGAGAUGUCGGGUUAAGUCCUUUAACGAGCGAAACCCUUGCCGUUAGUUGCCAGCGAGUAAUGUCGGGGACUCUAANCGGGACUGCCGGUGUUAAACACGGAGGAAGGUGGGGAUGACGUCAAAGUCCUCAUGGCCCUUUUUAUGCACCAAGGGGGCUGUGCACACGUGCUACAAUGGCAAUUACAGAGGACGCGAUACCGCGAGGUGGAGCAAAUCGCAAAAAAAUUGCCUCAGUUCGGAUUGCAGGCUGCAAUUCGCUGCAUGAAGUCGGAAUCGCUAGUAAUCGCGUAUCAGCAAUGACGCGGUGAAUGUGUUCCUGAGC
This 1341-nucleotide ribosomal RNA is filed under the name uncultured organism. RNAcentral's name for it is "bacterial SSU rRNA". It matches the Rfam family "Bacterial small subunit ribosomal RNA", at positions 65 to 1379 of the family's 1533-position model. The record is from RNAcentral.